Trifolium pratense (red clover) is the source of this 606-nucleotide long non-coding RNA. RefSeq lists it as uncharacterized. The transcript is spliced from 3 exons. NCBI's taxonomy places the organism in Eukaryota, Viridiplantae, Streptophyta, Magnoliopsida, Fabales, Fabaceae. The record is from RefSeq and is a predicted model, not a curated record.
UAUUUGUCCUCAAAUCGUCGUAGUCUUCAAAUUGCAACGCUGUACUCCUCUUCACGCAUCACAGAAUCGUCGUUCAAUCUCACAUCGUCCCCUUCUCUCAUGGUUGAUCGCCUUGCUCUGUCUUCAAUCUCAGAUUGUUGCAAUCUCAAAGUGUCUUUGCCCUCACUCUGCCAGACGAUACAAACAAAAUAGUAGGCAGAGAACAACAAUUUGACGGUCAUCGCUUUUGCAAACCAAUGUCUGAGGAUAAACAUGGCAGUCGUUGCUUUUGCAGCUUCACAAAUUCACGAUUCAGAAUACCGGUAGUCAUUCAAUCAAUAUGGGAAGCUCAAAUUUAAUAUUGUACAUAGUAAAGAAUGGGCUGCCUGCUGCUUUAAAAUCCUCUUCUGAAACAUAGAUUAUGUCGCAUGCUGCAGGCAGGUUUGUUUUCUCAUUCCUUCUUUUAUUGAAGGUCGGAUUCUGUCUUAAUUUUCCUACUUAUGAGUGUGGUCAGUAAUAAUCUCAUAUGCCAUAAAUGAUGAACCCUAUCCUAUCACAAUUAGCUCAGAUAUCUACAGUUAGCUCAUAUAUCUACAAUUGAAUUUUUACUUGCACAUGCAAAAUUAG